This 523-nucleotide ribosomal RNA is filed under the name Stenotrophomonas maltophilia. RNAcentral describes it as "bacterial SSU rRNA". It matches the Rfam family "Bacterial small subunit ribosomal RNA", at positions 56 to 538 of the family's 1533-position model. Lineage: Bacteria; Pseudomonadati; Pseudomonadota; Gammaproteobacteria; Lysobacterales; Lysobacteraceae. The record is from RNAcentral.
UGCAAGUCGAACGGCAGCACAGGAGAGCUUGCUCUCUGGGUGGCGAGUGGCGGACGGGUGAGGAAUACAUCGGAAUCUACUCUGUCGUGGGGGAUAACGUAGGGAAACUUACGCUAAUACCGCAUACGACCUACGGGUGAAAGCAGGGGACCUUCGGGCCUUGCGCGAUUGAAUGAGCCGAUGUCGGAUUAGCUAGUUGGCGGGGUAAAGGCCCACCAAGGCGACGAUCCGUAGCUGGUCUGAGAGGAUGAUCAGCCACACUGGAACUGAGACACGGUCCAGACUCCUACGGGAGGCAGCAGUGGGGAAUAUUGGACAAUGGGCGCAAGCCUGAUCCAGCCAUACCGCGUGGGUGAAGAAGGCCUUCGGGUUGUAAAGCCCUUUUGUUGGGAAAGAAAUCCAGCUGGCUAAUACCCGGUUGGGAUGACGGUACCCAAAGAAUAAGCACCGGCUAACUUCGUGCCAGCAGCCCGGUACAAUAAUAGCGAGCUGGAUUUCUCUCCCAACAAAAGGGCUUUACACC